Rattus norvegicus (Norway rat) is the source of this 69-nucleotide non-coding RNA. Lineage: Eukaryota; Metazoa; Chordata; Mammalia; Rodentia; Muridae. The record is from Rfam.
GGGGAUUUGGCUCAGUGGUAGAGCGCUUGCCUAGCAAGCACAAGGCCCUGGGUUCGGUCCCCAGCUCUA